Molecule: ribosomal RNA, 892 nt
Filed under: uncultured bacterium
Lineage: Bacteria
Description: bacterial SSU rRNA
Rfam family: Bacterial small subunit ribosomal RNA
Source: RNAcentral
GUGCCAGCAGCCGCGGUAAUACGUAGGUGGCAAGCGUUGUCCGGAUUUAUUGGGCGUAAAGCGAGCGCAGGCGGUUUCUUAAGUCUGAUGUGAAAGCCUUCGGCUCAACCGAAGAAGUGCAUCGGAAACUGGGAAACUUGAGUGCAGAAGAGGACAGUGGAACUCCAUGUGUAGCGGUGAAAUGCGUAGAUAUAUGGAAGAACACCAGUGGCGAAGGCGGCUGUCUGGUCUGUAACUGACGCUGAGGCUCGAAAGCAUGGGUAGCAAACAGGAUUAGAUACCCUGGUAGUCCAUGCCGUAAACGAUGAGUGCUAGGUGUUGGAGGGUUUCCGCCCUUCAGUGCCGCAGCUAACGCAUUAAGCACUCCGCCUGGGGAGUACGACCGCAAGGUUGAAACUCAAAGGAAUUGACGGGGGCCCGCACAAGUGGUGGAGCAUGUGGUUUAAUUCGAAGCAACGCGAAGAACCUUACCAGGUCUUGACAUCCUUUGACCACUCUAGAGAUAGAGCUUUCCCUUCGGGGACAAAGUGACAGGUGGUGCAUGGUUGUCGUCAGCUCGUGUCGUGAGAUGUUGGGUUAAGUCCCGCAACGAGCGCAACCCUUAUUACUAGUUGCCAGCAUUAAGUUGGGCACUCUAGUGAGACUGCCGGUGACAAACCGGAGGAAGGUGGGGACGACGUCAAAUCAUCAUGCCCCUUAUGACCUGGGCUACACACGUGCUACAAUGGAUGGUACAACGAGUUGCGAGACCGCGAGGUUUAGCUAAUCUCUUAAAACCAUUCUCAGUUCGGAUUGUAGGCUGCAACUCGCCUACAUGAAGCCGGAAUCGCUAGUAAUCGCGGAUCAGCAUGCCGCGGUGAAUACGUUCCCGGGCCUUGUACACACCGCCCGU